AUCUACACGAGUUAUUUAUUUAAGCGCACACUGAACGAUUAUUACAGUUUUCAUUAUAUUUUAUUUAUUUAUUUUUUACACUCACUCUUUCCACUCACACUCUACACUCACACUUUACACUCACACUACACUACACCACACGAUACUUUUUCCCCACCAAUUUCCACUUUCCCCACUUUCCACCCACACUACACACUAUCCUUUGCCCCCCACCAAAAUAAGCUUUAGCCAUGCCUAUUUCUCCAACAAAAUACCCAUUUCCUUCCACUUACCAUUUCUCCUACAUACCAAGGAACUAAGUGCGGAGCUACACCCACAGAAGUUCAGCUAUACCACACGGACUCCACAAACUCAGCUGAAAGCUCUAAAGAUUUCAUCUACAAAUCACUCUGUCCAUUUUACCUCCAUUCACGGUUGGCUGGCCGGUGCUGACGGGACGGAGCUGAGGCUAGCGAUAAAUUCCUAUGUUAGACUUCCGCUGUAGCAAUUACUCAUAUCAGUCUUUUGUUUUCUCAACUUAAGAUCUUCAUGUUAAAUUUCAAAUGAUAUACCUGACCGAGCUUAGACUCUUCACUACUAAAUUUAUGCUAAUGAAUGUCGGUUGUCAGAAGCAUGAAACAAAACUUGUGAUCCAAAGGGGCAUAGCCCGACUCUCUAUCUUAUUAUUCGGGUUUUAACAAGGUUGUUCCUUGUUUAUUUCUAUGAAUUAGUUGCACCUCGAUUAUAUUUAUUCAUUCAAGAAUUGGGGUGUGACAGAAUGGUAUCA
This is a long non-coding RNA of Salvia miltiorrhiza (redroot sage), 766 nucleotides long. RefSeq lists it as uncharacterized. The record is from RefSeq and is a predicted model, not a curated record. Lineage: Eukaryota; Viridiplantae; Streptophyta; Magnoliopsida; Lamiales; Lamiaceae. The transcript is spliced from 2 exons.